RNAcentral lists this long non-coding RNA (224 nucleotides) under Malus domestica (apple). RNAcentral's name for it is "long non-coding RNA (MDOM_LNC019072)". Lineage: Eukaryota; Viridiplantae; Streptophyta; Magnoliopsida; Rosales; Rosaceae. The record is from RNAcentral.
CAUGAAUUGUAUGCUACUACUUAGAUGCGAGAACCAGUGACACCAUAUGCUCAUACCAAUUUCGAACUCCACAAAUUGAAACACACAACACUCAAGAUUGAAGUCAAGGGUUGUAACAGGGCUUGGGGGUAAUUGCUAACAAAGAAAGGAUAUGAAUAACAAACGUUCUUAAAGCGAUAGCAAGCAAAGCAAUGAAAUAGACACUUGGAAUUCACUUUAGAAUG